RNAcentral lists this long non-coding RNA (1535 nucleotides) under Carassius auratus (goldfish). RNAcentral's name for it is "lncRNA (ENSCARG00000004597.1)". The record is from RNAcentral. Lineage: Eukaryota; Metazoa; Chordata; Actinopteri; Cypriniformes; Cyprinidae.
GGUCGUUUCAGCCUGCAAGUGUGAACGUAGCCAUACAUUCGAGUCAAGUUUACUAUAUUUAAUGUGCUCGAUGUAUGCGUGUUCAUCAAUGUUAAUAUGAAAAGCCUCAAUUAAAUGUCUUCAUCAUAUAAUGCUAUCAAGUCUCUUUAGAAGGAAAAAGGAAUAAGGAUGGAAUUCUUUUAUGUAGUCUUUAUGAACUUUUUAAUUUAAAGCAUCAAAGUUUUGUUUGCACUGAUUUUCAAUGCAGAGACAAAUCUCUCAGGUUUCAUUAUAAUACCUAGAUUUGUGUUUCUAAGAUGAACAAACAUCGUCAUGAGGGUUACUAAAUCCUUAAAUUAUAAUUUUGGCAAAAUUGUAAAAAAGGUCUGACUUCACAAUGAUCUUAGUGCAGUGUAACUUCAUUAUGUUCCCUGAGAGAGACUGAUAUGAUUAAUACAGACCAAAGCAAAGUCGUUUAGUUUAUCGCACAUCGAUACUAACCCACUUACUCUUUUAUAGACUGCACACAUACACACACAGACCUCAGCGACCUCUGUUAUGUAGAAAUCAUAUAACAGCUCUCAUAUAUUUAGCUUGGGACGACCUGGUUUUAAGCUAAUACGCAUUGCCUAAGGUAUAUCAGUUUCUAUUUUCAAUAUGUUUAUGCUCAAUAUGAUCAGACUAUGGUGCACUUUAAUGAUUUUGUCUACUGAUUGAUUGUGUUCUGGCAAGUUGGUCAUUUUUCAUGAGUGGUUUAAUCAGAGUUGUGAGAAUAUUGAACUAAAUGUUGAUUUUAAAUAUAAUGGUGCUUGUGUGUUUCUCAGGUGACUAACAUGUCAGAGGAGCUGGCUAUAUUAGAGAGCUGUCUGAAGGAGGCGGAGUCAGUGGGUGAUGGACAGCAGGGAGUGGGCGAGUUUGAAGUAGACGCAGUCAAGCACCGAGACAGCCAUCCACUCCACUCAUCGAGAGCCUUAGAGCACGGGACUUCAGCACAGCCAUCGCUCAAGUUAAAGCCUUCAGGUGCCUGUGGCCUAAUGAUAUAUUUGGCAAUGAGAGGGAUGAUGCAGUGCAGACGCUGCUGCACAUUUACUUCAGACACCAGACUCUGGGUCAGACGGGUUGUUUGGCCGUGGUGGGCCCCAGCAGGGAUCUUUCUCAGGCCAGUGCACGCCUCAUGGAGCUCAACCUUCAGAUCCGCGAAGCUCUCUGCCAGGCUGCCACACACCCGCACACCCACCAGACGCACAUCCUGUCCCCGACCCCCACGGCCCACAUCCAGACGCAAAUCGACACGCAAAACACAGUCCUCAGCACUGAACUGUGAGAACUUCACAAACUCGACUCUCUUCCUCUGGGGCGGUGGGUUUGGAGAUUUUUCAUGUAGACUUCACCUCAAAGGGCUAAAGAAUGUGUGGAUAUUAGUUACUCAAAACUAUUAUGCACGUACCAUGUUUUUCCUUCCCCCUUUCCCCAGUAGUUUAACUUCUCCAGGUGUCAGAAAAAAGUACGAAGAACAAGACUGGUCAAGAACCAUCAGGAGGGACACUGGGCGAUAA